RNAcentral lists this ribosomal RNA (406 nucleotides) under Microbacterium sp. RNAcentral describes it as "partial 23S ribosomal RNA". It matches the Rfam family "Bacterial large subunit ribosomal RNA", at positions 2519 to 2925 of the family's 2925-position model. The record is from RNAcentral. Lineage: Bacteria; Bacillati; Actinomycetota; Actinomycetes; Micrococcales; Microbacteriaceae.
UGGCACCUCGAUGUCGGCUCGUCGCAUCCUGGGGCUGGAGUAGGUCCCAAGGGUUGGGCUGUUCGCCCAUUAAAGCGGUACGCGAGCUGGGUUUAGAACGUCGUGAGACAGUUCGGUCCCUAUCCGCUGCGCGCGUAGGAAAUUUGAGAGGAUCUGACCCUAGUACGAGAGGACCGGGUUGGACGAACCUCUGGUGUGUCAGUUGUCCUGCCAAGGGCACCGCUGAUUAGCUACGUUCGGGAUGGAUAACCGCUGAAAGCAUCUAAGCGGGAAGCCGGCCUCAAGAUGAGAUUUCCAUGCCUUCGGGCGAGAGGCUCCCAGCCAGACUACUGGGUUGAUAGGCCGGGUGUGUAAGCGUGGCAACACGUGUAGCUGACCGGUACUAAUAAGCCGAUGAUUUGAUAAU